Non-coding RNA from Callithrix jacchus (white-tufted-ear marmoset), 1484 nucleotides. Lineage: Eukaryota; Metazoa; Chordata; Mammalia; Primates; Cebidae. The record is from RefSeq and is a predicted model, not a curated record.
UGCUUGAGCCGCCAAGGCCUGAGAUGGCUGGGCCAGAGGUCGCCACAUCCUGACACGGAGAUCAGCUUUGAUGGAUGGUGCCCAGUGGAAGCGCCACUGGGUCACAGUGAGAUGGAGUCGUCAGAGUGGAGACCCGCAGGAUGCUGCCCCAGGAUGCUGCAGGAGGCAGGAGGCACAAGCUGCAGCCAGGAGCAGGAGCCCCCACUUCAGGCUUCUUCAAUUGACUUCCUCAGACAGAGUUGCUUCUCUCCGGGGACAGACGAGAUCAAAUGAACUCUAGUGUGCCCCGGCAGAGCCUUACCUUUCAGACUGUAGUCUUUCUUCCUGCCUUGGGGCCUCCCCCUCCACUGACAUCGACACUGGGACAGAAGAUGACCGUGGGAGAGAAGAUGACCCUGGGAGACAAUAAAGGGCAAGGGGCUGAGACCAGCUCUCUCUCUCUCCGCCCCAAGUCCAGCUGCAGCACUCACGAACCGCUCAGCUCUCUCAUCUUGCUCAGGGAGCGGUGUGCUUCCUCCCACUCAUGUUUAAGUGGAUGAUAAACUGCUUUUCUUCUUAGAAAAACACGAAGAGGGGGCCAGAUGCAGUGGCUCAUGCCUGUAAUCGAGCGUUUGGGUUAGCCAAGAAGGGUGGAUCACCUGAGAUCAGAAGUUUGAGAACAGCCUCGCCAGCAUAGUGAAACUCUGUCUCUACUAAAAGUAACAAAAAUUAGCCAGGCAUGGUGGCGCGUGCCUGUCAUCUCAGCUACUCUGGAGGCUGAAGCAGGAGAACUGCUUGAACCUGGGAAGCAGAGGCUGCAGUGAGUCGAGAUCACCAUUGCACUCCAUCCAGGGCGACAAGAGUGAGACUCCGUCUCAAAAAACAAACAAUAAAACCCACCACAAAUAGAGAUUUACUAUAUGAGGAAAUACAUGUAUUAUAUAUAUUUCAUAUGUAAACUAUAAUAUACAUAAUGUAUAAUAUAUAAUAUAAUUUAAGUAACAGUAGAGGUGCUCCUCUACUUGACAAACACCCAGGCUCAGGCCCACGGGCACACCUGAGCUGUCAGGUAGGAUUCUGCUUCUCAGGAGAUCAGAGGAGACUCCAGGCCCAGGUGGGAGGCCCUGGGUGGCUCAGCAUAGCCCCCAGAUCACCCCACACAGAUGAGGCUGGGCCUUCAGCCACCUGCCCCAGGAAGGGGCUUAUGAGCGCCCCCCGCACAGUGCCCUCCACUAUGUCCUGACUGGUCCUCACCACUGAGACCAGGGGUUUGGUUUUGCCCUGAUGCCUUCUGUGCUCCCCCACAGAUGGACUUAGAGCUUGGGAUGGAAAUCUUAGUCCCGACCAACCCCUGGCUGCUCUUCCUCUCCCUGGAAAGACCAUGUUCUGGUCUCCUGACACUUCCCAUUGUGGAAGUCUUUCCACUGGAUUUGGAAAAGUAGAGCUAAUAAUAGAAAGAAAGGAGAGAAUUGUGCUGUGUGGGUCCGGCCUGAGGGCUCCUUACC